AUCCAUACUCGAUCCGACCUAAUCGGAUUCUUCCUUAACCGAUAUAGGUUCACGUUUCUCUCACGUACCUAUACAACCCUAGGGUUCACCGUCCUAAGGUCUCUUAGGUCCAUCCUAGACUCUCUCUUUACUAGCUCUUAAGGCUCUGAUACCAACCGACUACUGUCACGCCCCGACGCCGCUACCAAUUUGGUCCGGUUCGGGCGCGUCGAACAGACGCCGAACGGACAGCACCUCGCCUGUCCGCCCAAGGCUAAACAACUAGAUCAUGUACAAAUAAGCGCCCAGGAAUGCUUAGAUAACAUACAUGAUCGAACAUAGCGCACACAAGUGCAAUACAUCUAAGAGCAAGAACCACAAGUAAUAUACUAGUGUAUAAAGAGAGAUAGUCUAACUAUUACAUUCACUCAAUAGUUCCAACAUUUGUUUGCGUUACAUUUUUCAUCCACCAAAAUGUAAAUACAUAUUUUUCCUCAAAAUACAUGUAGCUCUCCCAUAUCCAUCCAAACCUCAUCUAGUACACGAGGGUACUCUAAUGCAUAAAGGAAGGCUACCAACUAAACUCACUUAGGGCGCUAUGCCCUUACCGCGGUCCUCGCUCGACUCGCCUCUGUGUGUACCUGUACCCCAAAACCACACGGGGUGAGAACUAUAAAAUAUAGUUCCCAGUGGGUUCGGCCGCCGACGCCGCCGGUUUUCCCACUAGGUCUAAGCUGGCACAGAUAGAGAGAUAGAUAGAUAUACAAAGAUAAACUGCAACUACUCUAUCCUGCCACCAAUGAUAAUAAUGCAUGCAAAAACUACUAUCACGCUAGUAUCAUGUCAUGAGUAUAUAAAGUGCGUAGUAAUGUAAACUGCAAUAUACAUUAUGCCUACUCAAGGUAAUAAUGCAAGUCUACUAUGCAUUUCAUGUUUCUUACCCAAUUCGCUUGGUUAACCCGAAGGUUAAACCCUUGACUCACUCUCAAUCUCAUAGGUGAGGAGAAACUGCACUCGCACACCGAGACCGUCUGCGGGACAACUACGUCUGCCCCUAGUGAAGUACUCCGGAGACUCGUGCCUCGGUGGAGCGACCACCGACAAGCAAAAACAGACUAGUGAGUAUGAUCCAAUCCUCACAAAAGGAUACCCUGUCUACUAGGGUCAAUGUGCCUCUGCUGCACAAUCAUGAUAUAUAAUCAAUGUUGGGACUUCUACUAUCCCUAGGUUCAUAUCAAAUUUACUACGCUAGACUCGAUGCCACUCGUUCGAUCAUUGUAGUAAGUUUUCUGCUAAUUGACAUGCCACUCGUUCAAGUUUAGUGUCUCUACUACACUAGUUCAAUUCCUCUCUACUAGGCUAUGUCCAAGUUCGGCUCUUUAUGCCGCUAUAGGAUUCUAUGCCAUAAGACCCAAUCCUCAUGCUACCCUAGUCUAGGUGUUCAACUCAUAAGUACACUACUAAGAAGCAUGCAAGGAAAAGGAAAUAUACAUUUAUUAGUCCUACGAUGCAAUAUGAUCAACACAUGUGUAACUUAGACAUAAAAAGAAACCCGGAUGUUCCGGAACGACACCCCCCACCUUUUGCGUAUAAGGAGGCUCUAGAAGUGCGCUUCGGCGUCCUUUACGACGAAGCCUCGGUCUUCUUGGUCCCAAUGAUGCUCAAUCGGCCUUAUUUUGCCGAUAGCUCUCGACCCGCUCGACGAAUCAAAAUUCCGACUUCGCCCCCGCGUUUAGGCACCUACCAAUUAGGUUUACAAGGCCUCAAAUGAGAUCAAUCCCAUACUUUACCGAAAAAACCCCAUUUUGGUGCCCUAGGGUUAGCAUCAAGCUUAACCCAUCUCAAAACCCUAGAUUCUAGCUCUAAUCCUUCCAUUCAAGGUACUAGGGAUCCAUUUGAUCCCAUCCAAAGAGCUAAAACCCAAAAACACCAAAUUUCACAAACUAGGGUUAGAAGCUUACCUCUAGGUUAGCUUAAAAGAGAGAAGAGAGGAUGAGGGAGAAGUCCAAAAGCCUUCUUUUGUUGAUCUCCUUCAUCUUCUCCUUCCUUUUCUUCCUUCUUUCCUUCUCUUUCCUUCUUCUUCUUCUUUUCUCCUUCUUCUCUAGAGAGAGAAAACAAGAGAGUGUGAGGGGGAGAGAGAGAGUGAACUGAGGGAGAGUGAGAGGGAGAGAGGGACUAAUAAGCCCUCUAUUGUAACAAUAUCCACCCAAGCCCCUCCACUUUUCACUCUGUGCGCAGCCCUCCCUGGGCGUUCUGCGCGCGGAGGGACUGGUCUCCCCGACUUGGGACCGGUCCCCGAGAGCUUCAGCUCGGGUCGCGCGUUCGGGUACCGGUCUCUCCCAGAGAGACCGGUCCUCGGGAGACCGGUUCCUUCCUGAGAGACCGGUUCCCGAGAGCUGGGAUUUCAGGACUUAGCUAAUUUUUGGCUUUUCGCGCUGGGAUCACGUUCGGGAACCGGUCCCUCACUGCCAGGGACCGGUUGCCUCAAGCAACCCCCGCGACACCAGCCGAUGGGACCGGUCUCUCCCGGCCAGGGACCGGUCCCCGAGAGCAGUUUUGCUCCAGUGCUGAUUUCGCACUAUUUGCUCUCGUGGACUCGUUUCCAAUGCACUUUUGGUGAUUUUAAUAUCUUUGGUCUUUCCAAAGUACACCAACACGACCCUUGGUCGAUUCGGGAUGAAGUCAAAUCCUCAUAUUUCGAGAAUUCACUUCCUCACAUCCUCCCCUCCUAAAAAGGAGUUUCGUCCUCGAAACGAAUUUAUUAACUCAUACCUCAUCGCAUUUCCGUGAAAAGAUGAGGGUAAUGUACUUUCAUCGUCUCCUCGAGUUCCCACGUGGCCUCACGAUCGUCGUGACCGGUCCAACGAAUCUUCACAUAGGGAAUCUCGCGGUUCCUCAAUUUCCGCACCUCUCGAGCAAUGAUCAUCGCCGGGAACUCUUCGUAGCUCAAAUCUUCCUGUAGAUUCGGCGGUUCGUAGUACAUCACGUGCUCGGGGUCGUGGACAUACUUACGAAGGUUAGAAACAUGGAAUACGUUAUGCACCCCUGCGAGCUUCGGCGGUAAUGCAAGUCGGUAUGCUACCGCUCCAACACGUUCUAACACUUCGAAUGGCCCGAUAUAUCGGGGACUUAGCUUUCCCCGCACUCCGAAGCGUUUCACACCUCUCAUAGGUGAAACCUUCAAGAAAACGCGGUCGCCUACCGCGAAUUCCAAGUCUCUACGGCGUUUGUCCGAAUAGCUCUUUUGUCUUGACUGUGCCGUAAGUAACCUCUCGCGAGCAAGACGGACCUUCUCUUCCGCCUCCCGCAAUACGUCUGGGCCCAAUGCCGCAGGCUCACCUACAUCACUCCAACAUACAGGAGAUCGGCACUUCCGUCCGUAUAGGACCUCAAACGGCGCCAUCCUGAUGCUAGCUUGAUAACUGUUGUUGUAGGCGAACUCGGCCAUCCUCAAAUGGUCUGCCCAACCACCCUUGUAGUCAAUGACACACGCCCGCAGCAUAUCCUCCAGAAUCUGUAUAGUCCUCUCUGACUGCCCAUCUGUCUGAGGAUGAAAAGCGGUACUGAAAUCGAGCCGUGUGCCAAGUGCUUUCUGCAGGCUUUUCCAAAAGUGCGAAGUAAAACGGGGGUCUCGAUCUGACACGAUCGACUUCGGAACCCCGUGCAACCUCACAACUUCAUCCAAGUAUACCUGCGCUAACUUGUCGCCCGACCAAGUAGUGUGAAUCGGUAGAAAGUGUGCCGACUUGGUCAUACGGUCCACAAUCACCCAGAUCGCGUCAUGGCCACCCGUCGAACAGGGCAAUUCGACCACGAAGUCCAUCGCGAUAUUCUCCCAUUUCCAAACGGGGAUAGGUAGACUUUGAAGUUUUCCCGCUGGAAAUCGGCGCUCAGCCUUCACUUGCUGGCAUACCAAGCACUGCGCCACGUAGCGCCCAAUGUCAGCUUUCAUGCCCGGCCACCAGUACUGCAUCUUCAGAUCACGGUACAUCUUGGUGCCGCCCGGGUGAAUACUAUAAGGAGUCCGAUGUGCUUCUUGUAAGAUCAACUUCCGGACCUCCUCGUUUUCCGGUACGCACCAUCGGUUCCGAAACCGAAGCGCACCCUCAGCGUCUACACUAAAAUCACCGCCGUGUCCACUCUCGAUGUCCCGCCGCACCUUUUGAAGAUUGGGGUCUGCAGAUUGCAAGCCCUUAAUCUGCUCCAACAAGGUCGGUUGGACAACGAGAGCCAUAAGCAUAGGCGGGGUUUCCGGAGCUACCACCUCGAGAUUUAGUCGCUCCAUCUCUCUCCACAGUGGCUCCUGGCGUGUGACCAACAUAGCAAGAUUUUCCACUGACUUCCUGCUAAGCGCGUCAGCCACCACGUUUGCUUUUCCGGGGUGGUAUAGGAUGGUAACAUCGAAAUCCUUUAGCAACUCUAACCACCGCCGCUGCCGCAUGUUGAGCUCCUUCUGCGUGAAAAGGUAUUUCAGACUUUUGUGGUCCGUAUAUAUUUCGCAUCGCGCGCCAUACAAGUAGUGCCUCCAUAACUUGAGAGCAAACACUACCGCGGCCAACUCUAGGUCGUGGACAGGGAAAUUCUUCUCAUAGUUGUUUAACUGACGGGACGCAUAAGCGAUCACCUUCCCGCCCUGCAUCAGAACACACCCUAAGCCCGAUUGUGACGCGUCGCUAUACACCACAAAGUCUUCGUCUUGCACCGGUAAGGCGAGCACCGGAGUCGAAGUUAAUCUAUCCUUCAACUCUUGAAAACUCCGGUCGCACUCGUCAUUCCAAUUGAACUUGGUGCCUUUCCGAGUCAGACGAGUAAGUGGACCCACGAUCUUCGAGAAUCCCUCUACGAACCGUCUAUAAUAACCCGCUAAACCCACGAAGCUUCGAACUUCCGUGACGUUAGUUGGGCAAGGCCAAUCCUUGAUCGCCUCCACUUUUCUCUGGUCAACAGAUACUCCGCCCUCGGAAAUGACAUGCCCAAGAAAUGUAACCUCUCGGAGCCAAAAGUCGCAUUUCUUAAACUUAGCGUAUAACUUCUCUUCCCGGAGGGUUUGAAGCACAAUCCUCAAAUGCUCGGCAUAUUCCUCAUCGCUGCGCGAGUAGACCAAGAUGUCAUCUAUGAAGACCACGACAAAUCGGUCCAAGUACUCCUUGAAGACACGGUUCAUUAGGUCCAUGAACGCUGCCGGGGCAUUAGUGAGCCCAAAUGGCAUGACCGUGAACUCAUAGUGUCCAUACCGCAUGCGAAACGCGGUCUUUUGAACGUCUUCCAGCUUAAUCUUGAGUUGAUGAUAACCGGACUGUAGGUCAAUCUUCGAAUAAACCCGGGACCCUUGUAAUUGAUCAAACAAAUCGUCAAUCCUCGGCAACGGGUACUUAUUCUUGAUCGUGACCUUAUUCAACUCGCGAUAAUCUACGCAGAGUCGGAACGAAACGUCCUUCUUUCGCACGAAUAGAACCGGGGCUCCCCACGGCGAUACACUUGGCCGUAUAAACCCUUUAUCAAGGAGAUCCAAUAACUGAGCCCGCAAUUCCUUCAAUUCCGCUGGCGCCAUCCGAUACGGAGCCUUCGAGAUAGGCGCGGUUCCUGGAACCAAGUCUAUCACGAACUCGAUUUUCCGAUCUGGCGGCAUUCCCGGUAACUCCGCGGGAAAUACAUCCGGAAAUUCCCGAACCACAGACAGCUCCUCGAGUGUAGGAGUCGUCCUGUCGACUUCUACAACGGUCGCCAAGUAGGCCACACAACCGCUGUUAACCAGCUUCCUUGCCCUCGUCGCUGUCACUAUAGCGGCGAAGCGCGAGCUCCUACAGGCCCAAUAGGUGAAUUCCUCUUGGCCCGGCUCUCGAAACGUUAUUACUUUACUUCUGCAGUGUAUAGUCGCAUAGUACUUCGAGAGCCAAUCCAUUCCUAGAAUGACGUCGAAGUCUUUCAACUUCUUGAACACUAGCAUACGAAUGGGCAUUAUCCAGGCGCCCAACCGCACUGGACAAGACGAACACUCCAUCCGGACUAGAAAGUCACGUCCGGGGCCCGACACCCUCCAAGUGCUUUUACUCUCUUGUAGUUUUAUGUCAUGCAUGCGUGCAAAUGACCUACUGAUGAACGAAUGCGUAGCACCUGUAUCAAACAUGGCUCUGGAGCGAACUCCGUCAAUUAAAACCAUACCUGCGAGUACAUGGCGAUCCUCCGCUUCAGCAGGUUCCUCGGCUUGAGUUUGGGCGGCGAACACCCGCCCGCUCGGAGCCGAUCUCGUCGCCUCGGCUUGGCGCGGUACCAUCGCACGUCCAGCCGAUGACGCAGCAGGUGGAACUCCUCCAUAAUGCGCAGGAGUCGCGGGAGCCGACGCGACCGAAGGGGCAGGUGAAGCCCUCAUUGGACAGUGGCGGCUAAUAUGGCCCGCCUGUCCACACGUGAAGCACUUCCCUUCCUGUUGAUCACACGUCCUUGGCUCGUGAUUCCCACCACAAAUCGUGCAUCGCUGCGGUCCGCGGCCUUUAGAUUGCGUUCGGUGGUACUUCGGGGGCUUCCUCGACUUGGUCUGAGCUCCCGAGCUACUCUGGGCCCGCUUCUUGCCACCGUCCUUCUCGGACGCUUCUCGCUCCUCCCGGAUGUGAGCGUUUCCUUGCUCCGCCCACAGCGCUCUGUCGAGCACCUCCUCGAAGGUAGUGAGCUUCAAGAUGUGCACCGCCCGGUAUAUGUCAGCCCGGAGCCCUCGCUCGAACCAGUCGGCUCGAUCCCUGUCAUCCCGCACUACGUCGGGGACGCAGUCAAUGAUGUGAGAGAACUCCCUCUCAUAUUCUGCUACCGUGCGGCCACCUUGCUUCAAUUUUCGAAACUGCUCCUGGAGUUUCUUCUUCUCACUAUCGGGGAAGUAAUUGACAUAGAACAAUCCCCGAAACUCCUGCCACGUCAACGGCGGAAGGUCGGAAGCUCGGUUUCUCUUGAUUCGCUUCCACCAGACCUUCACCGUCCGCUCCAAACAAUGAGUGGCGAGGUAGACCUUGUCCCUCUCUAAGGUGUAGAGGUCCUCGAAUAAGGUCUCCAUUGAGUCCACCCACGACUCAACCAUCCACGGCUCGACCUUCUCUCCCUCGAAGGUCGGUGGAUUGAACCUUCGAAACUUCUCGAGAGCCGCAAGUACGCGCUCCCUCUCCGCCUCCAACGCCAUCGCAUCGGGUGUCGUAGAACACGACGCCGCCGGAGGAACGCUUGCCGGCGGAGGACGUGCCGCCACCGGAACUGCCGCAAUGCCCUCGCCCUCAGCCGCCGUUGGCGCACGAGCUGGAGGUGGGGGCGGACCACGGCCCUCAGUCGCAGCUGCAGUUGCUGCCGGAAAAUGCCGCUCCAUAAGCCCCUGGAGCUGCUCGAACCGACUCUCUUGGCGCUGCACAAUGCCGGUUAAUGCCGACACUUGCGCCUGUAACUCCUGUACUUCACUAGAUCCGGCUUCCUCGGGCACCUCAGAAGGUGGUGUCGGAGCGGACCUGCGCACGUAGCGUCUUGGGGACAUUAUCUCCUGCAACGCAACAAUUGGGUUAGCCACUUAACCCACUUAACUCCAUCGCAUACACUAUAUUACGUGACUCAACUCCGCCCUCAGCGGAGGUACACUAGUGUAUUAGUCCUAACUCCUAGCGUCGUGUUGUCGGCCGCCAACACAACUCCUCGAGCUCGGAACCAACACCGCUCGGAUCUUUCUCUAGCUACACUAGAGAUCCAUACUCGAUCCGACCUAAUCGGAUUCUUCCUUAACCGAUAUAGGUUCACGUUUCUCUCACGUACCUAUACAACCCUAGGGUUCACCGUCCUAAGGUCUCUUAGGUCCAUCCUAGACUCUCUCUUUACUUGCUCUAAAUGGCUCUGAUACCAACGCUUGUCACGCCCCACCCCGAAUCCACAACCAAUUUGGCACGUACCAAUUGGCACAUACCUACCAAUUUGGCACCGUCCUAAUCGGAUUCUUCCUCAACCGAUAUAGGUUUACGUCUCUCUCACGUACCUACACAACCCUAGGGUUCAC
Molecule: long non-coding RNA, 7996 nt
Filed under: Ananas comosus (pineapple)
Lineage: Eukaryota; Viridiplantae; Streptophyta; Magnoliopsida; Poales; Bromeliaceae
Description: long non-coding RNA (ACOM_LNC038473)
Source: RNAcentral